RNAcentral lists this non-coding RNA (173 nucleotides) under unclassified sequences. RNAcentral describes it as "malK-I RNA". It matches the Rfam family "malK-I RNA". The record is from RNAcentral.
UAAAAUGGAUUGCGCCUACUCCACUAAAAUAGACGCUGUUCAUUAAAAAAGGAGGAAAAACCCGUUAGGUUCACGGUGCGGCAGAGUGGAGACCUGUCGUAACGCGCAGCGCCAAAGGCGUGCGCGAGAGCAUUUGCGCGGAGGUGCUGUGCUCAGAGCCAAAUGUAAUGGCA